AUUGAACGCUGGCGGCAGGCCUAACACAUGCAAGUCGAGCGGAUGAAGGGAGCUUGCUCCUGGAUUCAGCGGCGGACGGGUGAGUAAUGCCUAGGAAUCUGCCUGGUAGUGGGGGAUAACGUCCGGAAACGGGCGCUAAUACCGCAUACGUCCUGAGGGAGAAAGUGGGGGAUCUUCGGACCUCACGCUAUCAGAUGAGUCUAGGUCGGAUUAGCUAGUUGGUGGGGUAAAUGCCUACCAAGGCGACGAUCCGUAACUGGCCUGAGAGGAUGAUCAGUCACACUGGAACUGAGACACGGUCCAGACUCCUACGAGAGGCAGCAGUGGGGAAUAUUGGACAGUGGGCGAAAGCCUGAUCCAGCCAUGCCGCGUGUGUGAAGAAGGUCUUCGGAUUGUAAAGCACUUUAAGUUGGGAGGAAGGGCAGUAAGUUAAUACCUUGCUGUUUUGACGUUACCAACAGAAUAAGCACCGGCUAACUUCGUG
RNAcentral lists this ribosomal RNA (484 nucleotides) under uncultured bacterium. RNAcentral's name for it is "partial 16S ribosomal RNA". It matches the Rfam family "Bacterial small subunit ribosomal RNA", at positions 30 to 507 of the family's 1533-position model. The record is from RNAcentral.